RNAcentral lists this small RNA (406 nucleotides) under Pongo abelii (Sumatran orangutan). RNAcentral's name for it is "processed transcript". Lineage: Eukaryota; Metazoa; Chordata; Mammalia; Primates; Hominidae. The record is from RNAcentral.
CGACAGAGGGUUCUGUGGAGGACAUAAGGGAGAUCGUGCAGAGACUGAAGGUGAUGACCAAUGGCUGGGAGACGGUGGACAUGACGCUGCGGCGGAACGGGCUCGGGCAGCUGGGCUUCCAUGUGAAGUACGACGGCACGGUGGCCGAGGUUGAGGACUACGGGUUCGCCUGGCAGGCCGGCCUCCGGCAGGGCAGCCGACUGGUGGAGAUCUGCAAGGUGGCCGUGGUCACAUUGACCCACGACCAGAUGAUCGACCUGCUGCGCACCUCUGUCACUGUGAAGGUGGUCAUCAUUCCGCCUUUCGAGGAUGGCACGCCCCGGAGAUGGAGUCUCUCUCUAUCGCCAGGCUGGAGUGCAUUGGCGUGAUCUCGGCUCACUGCAACCUCUGCCUCCCGGGUUCAAGC